UUUUGGUUUUUUUUUACUUCU
This 21-nucleotide small RNA is filed under the name Arabidopsis thaliana (thale cress). RNAcentral's name for it is "ATSL249870". The record is from RNAcentral. Lineage: Eukaryota; Viridiplantae; Streptophyta; Magnoliopsida; Brassicales; Brassicaceae.